RNAcentral lists this ribosomal RNA (494 nucleotides) under uncultured bacterium. RNAcentral's name for it is "partial 16S ribosomal RNA". It matches the Rfam family "Bacterial small subunit ribosomal RNA", at positions 28 to 507 of the family's 1533-position model. The record is from RNAcentral.
GACGAACGCUGGCGGCGUGCUUAACACAUGCAAGUCGAACGGAAAGGCCUGCUUUUCCUUGUGGAUUGCGGGUACUCGAGUGGCGAACGGGUGAGUAACACGCGAGUGAUCUGCCCCCAACUUGGGUAUAAGCCUGGGAAACUGGGUCUAAUUCCCGAUAGGACUGCAGGGUGCUGCCUGUGGUGGAAAACGAUCUUCUAGUGGUUGGGGAUGCGCCCGCGGCCUAUCAGGUUGUUGGUGGGGCAAUGGCCUACCAAGGCGGGGACGGGUAGCCGGCCGGAGAGGGUGGACGGCCAAAUUGGGACAGGGACCCGACCCAGACUCGUACGGGCGGCAGCGGAGGGGACUAAUGGACCGUGGGCGUGAGCGUGCUGCAGCGACGGCGCGAGGGGGAUGACGGCCUUCGAGUUGUCUACUCCUUGCGACCGAGAGGAGGCUACCUGGUUGUAAGGGUGGUGACGGUAGUGGUAGAAGAAGCACCGGCUAACUACGUG